Long non-coding RNA from Medicago truncatula (barrel medic), 173 nucleotides. RefSeq lists it as uncharacterized. The record is from RefSeq and is a predicted model, not a curated record. Lineage: Eukaryota; Viridiplantae; Streptophyta; Magnoliopsida; Fabales; Fabaceae. The transcript is spliced from 3 exons.
CAACAAGCAAAGGCUUGACUCUACUCGCUUGGUUGAUUUCAUUGGUUUGUUGACUGCGCUGCAUUACGAGUGUGUCUCUGAUGAUGUUGAUGGGUUGAUAACCGUUGCUAAGAUUGAACUCACCGAUGAGAGAGGAAGGCUGGAAUGUGAGUUGAAGGGUGUCUUUCUUGCUC